GGAGUUAGCCGGUGCUUCUUCUGUGGGUGAUGUCGUCCCUGCCGGCUAUUAACCCGCAGGCCUUCUUCCCCACUGAAAGUGCUUUACAACCCGAAAGCCUUCUUCACACACGCGGCAUGGCUGGAUCAGGGUUGCCCCCAUUGUCCAAUAUUCCCCACUGCUGCCUCCCGUAGGAGUCUGGGCCGUGUCUCAGUCCCAGUGUGGCUGAUCAUCCUCUCAGACCAGCUACGGAUCGUCGCCUUGGUGAGCCGUUACCUCACCAACCAGCUAAUCCGACAUAGGCUCAUCCGAUAGCGCGAGGCCCGAAGGUCCCCCGCUUUCUCCCGUAGGACGUAUGCGGUAUUAGCCUGGGUUUCCCCAGGUUAUCCCCCACUACCGGGCAGAUUCCUAUGCAUUACUCACCCGUCCGCCGCUCGACGCCUCCUAGCAAGCUAGGAUCGUUUCCGCUCGACUUGCAUGUGUUAGGCCUGCCGCCAGCGUUCAAUCUGAGCCAGAAUCGAACCCUGA
RNAcentral lists this ribosomal RNA (507 nucleotides) under uncultured bacterium. Its description in RNAcentral is "partial 16S ribosomal RNA". The record is from RNAcentral.